UCCUGGUUAGCUUAGUUGGUAGGGUGGUCCACUGGAAAUGGAGAGGUCUCUGGUUCGAUACCAGGACCAGGCG
Molecule: non-coding RNA, 73 nt
Organism: Ixodes scapularis (black-legged tick)
Lineage: Eukaryota; Metazoa; Arthropoda; Arachnida; Ixodida; Ixodidae
Source: Rfam